This is a long non-coding RNA of Gadus macrocephalus (Pacific cod), 246 nucleotides long. RefSeq lists it as uncharacterized. The transcript has 2 exons. The record is from RefSeq and is a predicted model, not a curated record. NCBI's taxonomy places the organism in Eukaryota, Metazoa, Chordata, Actinopteri, Gadiformes, Gadidae.
CAUUAGAAUCAGCCCAGCUGUAAUCACACGUUGGAUUGCUCUUAGGGUUUGAGAUGUUGUACGUCGUUGCUUUGCCCUGAUGGGUGACUGUGCACGUUCCACGCUAAAACUUACCGGUAAAUAAGGCUGGAAUGAAUAAAAAAAGCCACUUCAUUCCGACUCCAAAUUCGAUCCUUUGUGGUAUGGUCGUCUCGGGCUAGGUAUGACUCGGAGAGUGGUUAAUGUUCCACAGGUGGUUUAUUCUAA